RNAcentral lists this ribosomal RNA (465 nucleotides) under uncultured bacterium. RNAcentral's name for it is "bacterial SSU rRNA". It matches the Rfam family "Bacterial small subunit ribosomal RNA", at positions 917 to 1382 of the family's 1533-position model. The record is from RNAcentral.
GGGCCCGCACAAGCGGAGGAACAUGUGGUUUAAUUCGAUGAUACGCGAGGAACCUUACCCGGGCUUGAAUUGCUGAGGAAAGCUCCAGAGAUGGAGCUGCCCUUCGGGGCCUCAGUGAAGGUGCUGCAUGGUUGUCGUCAGCUCGUGCCGUGAGGUGUCGGCUUAAGUGCCAUAACGAGCGCAACCCCUCUCUUCAGUUGCCAUCAGGUCAAGCUGGGCACUCUGGAGACACUGCCACCGUAAGGUGUGAGGAAGGUGGGGAUGACGUCAAAUCAGCACGGCCCUUACGUCCGGGGCUACACACGUGUUACAAUGGGUGGUACAGAGAGUUGGGUGCGCGCAAGCUCACCCUAAUCAAGAAAUCCAUCCUCAGUUCGGACUGGGGUCUGCAACCCGACCCCACGAAGCUGGAUUCGCUAGUAAUCGCGCAUCAGCCAUGGCGCGGUGAAUACGUUCCCGGGCCUU